This 402-nucleotide ribosomal RNA is filed under the name uncultured bacterium. RNAcentral describes it as "bacterial SSU rRNA". It matches the Rfam family "Bacterial small subunit ribosomal RNA", at positions 355 to 774 of the family's 1533-position model. The record is from RNAcentral.
UCGGGAAUUUUGGGCAAUGGGCGAAAGCCUGACCCAGCAACGCCGCGUGAGGGAUGAAGUAUUUCGGUAUGUAAACCUCGAAAGAAUGGGAAGAAUAAAUGACGGUACCAUUUAUAAGCUCCGGCUAACUACGUGCCAGCAGCCGCGGUAAUACGUAGGGAGCAAGCGUUGUUCGGAUUUACUGGGCGUAAAGGGCGCGUAGGCGGCUCGGUAAGUCACUUGUGAAAUCUCUGAGCUUAACUCAGAACGGCCAAGUGAUACUGCUGUGCUAGAGUGCGGAAGAGGCAACCGGAAUUCUUGGUGUAGCGGUGAAAUGCGUAGAUAUCAAGAGGAACACCUGAGGCGAAGGCGGGUUGCUGGGCCGACACUGACGCUGAUGCGCGAAAGCCAGGGGAGCAAACG